Molecule: ribosomal RNA, 253 nt
Filed under: uncultured bacterium
Lineage: Bacteria
Description: partial 16S ribosomal RNA
Rfam family: Bacterial small subunit ribosomal RNA
Source: RNAcentral
UACAGAGGUCCCAAGCGUUGUUCGGAUUCACUGGGCGUAAAGGGUGCGUAGGUGGCCGGGUAAGUCUGACGUGAAAUCUCCGAGCCUAACUCGGAAACUGCAUCGGAUACUAUCCGGCUUGAGGGUUGGAGGGGGGACUGGAAUACUUGGUGUAGCAGUGAAAUGCGUAGAUAUCAAGUGGAACACCAGUGGCGAAGGCGAGUUCCUGGACAACUCCUGACACUGAGGCACGAAAGCUAGGGGAGCAAACAGG